CGCGGGAUUAGAGUUUGAUCAUGGCUCAGAUUGAACGCUGGCGGCAGGCCUAACACAUGCAAGUCGAGCGGUAACAGGAAUUAGCUUGCUAAUUCGCUGACGAGCGGCGGACGGGUGAGUAAUGCCUGGGAAUAUGCCUUAGUGUGGGGGAUAACUAUUGGAAACGAUAGCUAAUACCGCAUAAUGUCUUCGGACCAAAGAGGGGGACCUUCGGGCCUCUCGCGCUAAGAUUAGCCCAGGUGAGAUUAGCUUGUUGGUGAGGUAAGAGCUCACCAAGGCGACGAUCUCUAGCUGGUCUGAGAGGAUGAUCAGCCACACUGGAACUGAGACACGGUCCAGACUCCUACGGGAGGCAGCAGUGGGGAAUAUUGCACAAUGGGCGCAAGCCUGAUGCAGCCAUGCCGCGUGUAUGAAGAAGGCCUUCGGGUUGUAAAGUACUUUCAGUGGGGAGGAAGGUGUUGUCGUUAAUAGCGGCAGCAUUUGACGUUACCCACAGAAGAAGCACCGGCUAACUCCGUGCCAGCAGCCGCGGUAAUACGGAGGGUGCGAGCGUUAAUCGGAAUUACUGGGCGUAAAGCGCAUGCAGGUGGUUCAUUAAGUCAGAUGUGAAAGCCCGGGGCUCAACCUCGGAACCGCAUUUGAAACUGGUGAACUAGAGUGCUGUAGAGGGGGGUAGAAUUUCA
This 683-nucleotide ribosomal RNA is filed under the name uncultured Vibrionaceae bacterium. RNAcentral's name for it is "bacterial SSU rRNA". It matches the Rfam family "Bacterial small subunit ribosomal RNA", at positions 1 to 671 of the family's 1533-position model. The record is from RNAcentral. Lineage: Bacteria; Pseudomonadati; Pseudomonadota; Gammaproteobacteria; Vibrionales; Vibrionaceae.